RNAcentral lists this ribosomal RNA (224 nucleotides) under uncultured bacterium. Its description in RNAcentral is "partial 16S ribosomal RNA". It matches the Rfam family "Bacterial small subunit ribosomal RNA", at positions 794 to 1013 of the family's 1533-position model. The record is from RNAcentral.
UCCUGGCCGUAAACGAUGGGCACUAGGUAGGGGGAAUUCCUAUGGUUCUCUCUGCCGGAGCUAAUGUGUUAAGUGCCCCGCCUGGGGAGUACGCUCGCAAGGGUAAAACUCAAAGGAAUUGACGGGGGCUCACACAAGGCGGUGGAGCAUGUGGUUUAAUUCGAAGCAACGCGAAGACCUUACCCGGUCUUGACAUGCAUGGAUUAACUCUGUGAAAGCAGAGC